GACGAACGCUGGCGGCGUGCCUAAUACAUGCAAGUAGAACGCACAGUUUAUACCGUAGCUUGCUACACCAUAGACUGUGAGUUGCGAACGGGUGAGUAACGCGUAGGUAACCUGCCUGGUAGCGGGGGAUAACUAUUGGAAACGAUAGCUAAUACCGCAUAAUAUUAAUUAUUGCAUGAUAAUUAAUUGAAAGGUGCAAUUGCACCACUACCAGAUGGACCUGCGUUGUAUUAGCUAGUAGGUGAGGUAACGGCUCACCUAGGCGACGAUACAUAGCCGACCUGAGAGGGGGAUCGGCCACACUGGGACUGAGACACGGCCCAGACUCCUACGGGAGGCAGCAGGAGGGAAUCUUCGGCAAUGGACGAAAGUCUGAACGAGCAACGCCGCGUGAGUGAAGAAGGGUUUCGGAUCGUAAAGCUCUGUUGUAAGAGAAGAAAGGGUGUGAGAGUGGAAAGUUCACACUGUGACGGUAUCUUACCAGAAAGGGACGGCUAACUACGUG
This 505-nucleotide ribosomal RNA is filed under the name uncultured bacterium. Its description in RNAcentral is "partial 16S ribosomal RNA". It matches the Rfam family "Bacterial small subunit ribosomal RNA", at positions 28 to 507 of the family's 1533-position model. The record is from RNAcentral.